AGGAGGGUGUUUGUGUCAGGGAGGCGGGGAAGGAUUAAAGUUUCCACAGCUCCCUCAGGCCUGGCAAGCUGAGGGGCGACGAAGGUUCCCCGGGAUGGCGGAGCAUUGGAGGGCGCCCGGUAAUGUACCAGGGGCCCGACCGCUCAUGAGCUUGUAGUUCCCAGGGCAGCGGACUUCGGAGGUUAGGUAGGGCUAGGCUGGGUUCAAAGGGAAGAAGGCCCCGGCCUGCGGGCGGCCACCGCAAGGACUGCUCGGGAACAUCCUGGUCCCGGCGCAGAGCGGCACCGAAUUCCCUGAGCGAUCUGGCGGCCUCUGCCACAGCUGGAGUUUUCGGCGGACACAAUAUCUUUGUUUGUAUGUGGUGCUGAGGAUCGAACCCGGGCCGCACGCAUGCCAGGUGAGCGCGCUACCGCUUGAGCCACAUUCCCAGCCCCAUAGCAACUUCUAUAAACGGAUUUUUCUUUCACUUUUUUAAAUUUGUGCCUUAUUGUUGUAAUGAUUUGUUUCAUAUUCAUACACGCACACAACAUAACUGGACCAAUGUCACUCCCCAGCAUUUCCCCCUACAUCAGGAAUCUUGAUUUACAGAUAUCAGACUUACAUUGGCUGAUUUAAGCAAAGAGGGAUUUAUUAAGGGUAUUAGGCAGCUUACAGACUUAGGACACAGGUUUGAGGAACAGUUCCAAGCCAUAGAAUGGAUCUCAUCUGGUAACUGCUUAAAAAAAAAAAAAAAAGAAGAAGAAGGGCUGGGAUUGUAGCUCAGUGGUAGAGUACUCGCCUCGCAUGCGAAAGGCACUGGGUUCGAUCCCCAGCACCACAUAAUAAAUAAAUAAAAUAAAGAUAUUCUGUCCAUCUACAACUAAGAAGAUUUAAAAAAAAAAAAAGAAAUUGAAAAUAAAACUGCUGCCACUGCCAACAAAUACUAUAAGCCAGGAUUUAGACUCAUCUCUAACAGUUACUGCUAGUGGCACUAAAGCUUGUUCUACAUCAAGAAAGUGACUUUCCCUCUCCCCAACCCCAAAACCAAGCACAUCCAAAGCCUCACAUGGAUGUGUCUCAUCAAAGGAUCUUAAAUGACAUGUCAGUGUUCUUACAUCAGUGGAGGCUGAGAAGUUGACUGACACUGAUAUUGGGGAACAGGUUUGACUGCAGAGAAUUUCCUCAGAUGUACAGUCUCUUCAAGAUGUCCCUCUGUACUUACGACCAUAUUACUGUGAAAGAGUGGAAAGAGCACAAAGGUCCAGUCUAGUCUGGAUAUGGUUACAUGGUCCCCCACCCCGCCCUCGCAGUUCUGGGGCUUGAACCCAGGGCCUUGUGCAUGCUGGGCAAGAACUCUACAUCUCUAGCACUUUAUUUUGCCAUAGAGUGCCACUAAGUUGCACCACCUGGCCUCAAAUUUGCCUCCUGAGCAACUGGGGUGAAAUGUAGGUUCAGAGGUAGAGUCCAGGAGAGCCAGACACCUGUGAAAACACCUGUGAGCAACGUUAAAUGAAGAGCUCCUGGCCACUGUAGAAAAAUAGCAUGUGUAUAAGGGGUGGAGACAAAGGAAAUUGAAAUACUUGCAACUUUAGAAGGCUGAAUUUGCUUGGAGAUUUUUCUCUCUCAAACAUUUAUGUGUUUACAGUUGGAAGAAAAAUUCUUUAUGCAGAAUCUUGAACUUUUCUUUUGUUGUACUAGGAAUCAAACUCAGGGGAGCUUUACCUCUAAGCUACAUCCUCAGUCCUUUUUAUUUUGAGGAAGGGUGUAAGUUGAUGAGGGUCUCCCUAAAUUGCUGAGGCUGGCCUUGAACUUGUGAUCCUCCUGUUUCAAAAUCCUAAGUCACUGGGAUUGCAGGUUUGCUCCACCUUGCUUGUCCUAGAAUCUUGAACUCCUUAGAAAGAUGCUCUUAAAAUCAAAUGGCUUUCCACCUCCCAACCCCAGCAAUCUGUUUUUUCUACUGUGUGGCAGACUUUGAACUCCUGCUUAACAGCCAUUUUUCUUUCUCCCAGCAGUGUUCUGAUUUAGUUCAGGAUGGCCUUUUCCCCAGCUCCAGGAAGAAAUCCUAACAGGUCUAUUCCAAUUUUAGUGGGCCAGUUCUCCUUGCAGGGGUUUUGUUUAGGGCUGGAUGUGUGACUUCUUUCAGACCAGGGAUUAGUAAGAGAUCUGCUUGCUUGGGGCGGGGGGCGGGUCAGGGAAGAAUUCCUCACCCUGACCCAUAUUUUUUUUUUUGGAGCAUUAUAAUUAUAAUGGUGAAAUUCAUUAUAUAUCAGGCUGGGGUUGUGGCUCAGUGGUGGAGCGCUUGCCUAGCAUGUGUGAGGCACUGGGUUCAAUUCUCAGCACUGCAUGUAAAUAAAUGAAUAAAAUAGAGGUCCAUCAACAUCUAAAACAAAAAAAAAAUUCAUUAUAUAUCUAUACAUGCACAUAAUAUAACAAAAUAAUUUGGCAAGGAUUCCUUAUUGUUAAGGAGGCAUUGAAGAGAUGCACAUCCUUCUCUGGAUGUUGUGAGGUCUGGAUAGGAAACCUGGAACUGCUGUGCCCAUCUUUCUCCCAGUUGAUGACAAGGCCAAAUCCCAGAGAAGGACAAAGCAAAGAAUGCCCAAGAAGACUACUGAUGUGAAAUGAGGAGUGUCCUUAUGGUUUAAACAGGAUCAUCUGGGGGUUUUUUUGCAGCCAAAUACAUCCUAACUACCAUCUCUCACUUAUUUAUUUUUAUGUGGUGCUGAGGAUUGAACCCAGGGUCUCGAACGUGCGAGGCGAGCGCUCUACCACUGAGCUACAACCCAGUCCCUGGGAUGGAAUUUUUUUUUUUUUAGAAUUUUUAAUAUUUAUUUUUUAGUUUUCGGCGGACACAACAUCUUUGUAUGUGGUGCUGAGGAUCGAACCCAGGCCGCACGCAUGCCAGGCGAGCGCACUACCGCUUGAGCCACAUCCUCAGCCCCCUUAACUACCAUCUCUCAACAGGGCGUGGUACCAAGAUAUAUUUCUUGGGUUUUGAUCCUGAGACAGUGACUUAAGAAGAGCUGGGGGUAGGCUUCAUCUGUUUCUCUGUCCUUUGUGCCUGGCCAUUUUCAUCUGUAGGCCUCUGAAAUAUAUAUAUAUAUAUAUUUUAGUUUUUGACAGACCUUUAUUUUAUUUGUUUAUAUGUGGUGCUGAGAAUCGAACCCAGUGAUUCACACAUGGUAGGCGAGCACUCUACCACUGAGCCACAACCCCACCCUUAAAACUAUUUUUUAAAUUAAUUUUUUAAUUUUUCCUAAUUAGUUACACAUGACAAUCAUUUAUGUACUUUGAUAUACAUAAAUGAAAUAUAAUUUCUCAUUUUUCUGAUUGUACAUGUUGCAGAAUCACAUCGGUCAUGCACGCAGUACACUUGAACUACUAAUCAGUCUUCCCAACUGAAGGGGCCAGUAUUAUGGUACUAGACUCAAUAUAUGCAAAACAGGGCUCAUUUUUCUCCCACACUCUCCUCCCUUACCCCUGCUAUUACUGGGUAUUGUAGGAUUGAACCCAGGGCUACUCUACCUCUGAGCUCCACCCCCAGCCGUUUUAAUUUUUAUUUUUGAGAGAGGGUCUCACUAAGUUGCCUAGGCUAGCCUCAGAUUUGGGAUCCCCCUGCUCAGCCUCACAAGUCGUUGGGAUUACAAGCACAUGCCCGCCACACCUGGCUUCUGACACUCUUAUACAUUAAAUAAAAGGCAAUACCACACUCUCUUCCCCUUUUCCCACACCUAACCCAGUACCCAGACCUGUAGGUUUCCUCCCCACACUAGAUCUCAAAUGUGACCAUUUGUCACCCUUACCACUGUUAACACUGUGGUUCAUUUUGGGAUCGUCCAUCAUCUAGGUUACCUCAAGAGCUCUCUAGUAGGUCCUGUAGGCUCUGUUCUUAUUCUUAAUAUCUGUCAAGUCCACUCUCCACACAGUCUUUAAAAUGUGGUCGGGGGUUGGAGUGUAGCUCAGUGGUAGAACACAUGCUUAUCAUGUGCAAAGCCCUAGGUUCAAUCCCCAGCACUGUAAGUAAAUAAACAAACAUCCAUCUUACCUGAGUAAUUUUUCAUUGCACUUAGAAUGAAAUCUAAAUUUCUACUUUAAAUGUGUGAGUUGCAUCUCAGUGGGAGCAGGUGAUAGAUGAAUUAUAUCUUAAUAUGGCUGGUGUCAACACACAAUCAAGACUCUUCCCUGUGGCUGCAUAUCUGGCCCCUGCCCACCUUUGAAUCUAUCUAAUAUCACUCAUUUCACUCACUCUCCCCGCAGCCAGACAGGUCAUCUGUUUUACAAACAUCCUAAGAUUGUCUCCCCCCAGGAUCUUUUUUUUUUUUUUUUUAAUAUUUUUUUAGUUGUAGUUAGACACAACACCUUUAUUUCACUUGGAUCGAGCCCAGGGUCUCACACGUGUGAGAUGAGUGCUUGCUGAGCCACAGCCCCAGACCAUUCCCCCAGGAUCUUUGCAAAUGUUCUUCCCUUUCCUGGAAUGCUGCCCCCAGCUUUCCCCAUGGCUUGUCCUCAUUCAACAGUCUACCUGGGACGACAUCACUUCUUACCUCAAGUAGCCCUCUUGUCAGUUGUCCUUUGAUUUUUUUCAUAGCACCUAGAUAUCCCAAAUUACUAGCUUGCUUGGUUCUGUUUCUGCUAUCCUGUCUCACCAGCUUAUGACAACAAGAAUUUAUUGUUUAACAAUAGUGACGUUUAGAUGAACAAAUCAUUCAAUGAAGAAAUGACUUGUAUCAAUCAGUUGAGCCUUUCUGUUGGGCUUUUAAGUUUCUUGAUGUUUUUAAUGGAAAACAAAAUUUGUAUUCAUAUCCACUUUGUAAAUAAAAAUGAUUUGCUGCAUCUA
This is a long non-coding RNA of Marmota monax (woodchuck), 4813 nucleotides long. RefSeq lists it as uncharacterized. Lineage: Eukaryota; Metazoa; Chordata; Mammalia; Rodentia; Sciuridae. The transcript is spliced from 2 exons. The record is from RefSeq and is a predicted model, not a curated record.